AUUGAACGCUGGCGGCAUGCUUUACACAUGCAAGUCGAACGGCAGCGAAGAGAAGCUUGCUUCUCUGUCGGCGAGUGGCGAACGGGUGAGUAUAGCAUCGGAACGUGCCAAGUAGUGGGGGAUAACCAAGCGAAAGUUUGGCUAAUACCGCAUAAGCUCUAAGGAGGAAAGUAGGGGACCGUAAGGCCUUACGCUAUUUGAUCGGCCGAUGUCGGAUUAGCUAGUUGGUGAGGUAAUGGCUCACCAAGGCGAUGAUCCGUAGCGGGUCUGAGAGGACGAUCCGCCACACUGGGACCGAGACACGGCCCAGACUCCUACGGGAGGCAGCAGUGGGGAAUUUUGGACAAUGGGGGGAACCCUGAUCCAGCCAUGCCGCGUGUAUGAAGAAGGCCUUAGGGUUGUAAAGUACUUUUGUUAGGGAAGAAAAGCUAGUUUUUAAUAAAGACUAGUGAUGACGGUACCUAAAGAAUAAGCACCGGCUAACUACGUGCCAGCAGCCGCGGUAAUACGUAGGGUGCGAGCGUUAAUCGGAAUUAUUGGGCGUAAAGCGAGUGCAGACGGUUGUUUAAGCCAGAUGUGAAAUCCCCGAGCUUAACUUGGGACGUGCAUUUGGAACUGGAUAACUAGAGUGUGUCAGAGGGAGGUAGAAUUCCACAUGUAGCGGUGGAAUGCGUAGAGAUGUGGAGGAAUACCGACGGCGAAGGCAGCCUCCUGGGAUAACACUGACGUUGAGGCUCGAAAGCGUGGGGAGCAAACAGG
This 759-nucleotide ribosomal RNA is filed under the name uncultured Neisseriaceae bacterium. Its description in RNAcentral is "bacterial SSU rRNA". It matches the Rfam family "Bacterial small subunit ribosomal RNA", at positions 28 to 776 of the family's 1533-position model. Lineage: Bacteria; Pseudomonadati; Pseudomonadota; Betaproteobacteria; Neisseriales; Neisseriaceae. The record is from RNAcentral.